This 86-nucleotide ribosomal RNA is filed under the name Crocodylus porosus (Australian saltwater crocodile). Lineage: Eukaryota; Metazoa; Chordata; Crocodylia; Crocodylidae. The record is from RNAcentral.
GUUUGUAGCCAAACUAGCUAAGCAGGGUCAGGUUGGGCUAGUACUUGCCUGAGAGAUCUCCAAGGAACACCCAGGUGCUGCAGGAA